This 457-nucleotide ribosomal RNA is filed under the name uncultured bacterium. Its description in RNAcentral is "partial 16S ribosomal RNA". It matches the Rfam family "Bacterial small subunit ribosomal RNA", at positions 338 to 795 of the family's 1533-position model. The record is from RNAcentral.
CCUACGGGGGGCAGCAGUGAGGAAUAUUGGUCAAUGGGCGAGAGCCUGAACCAGCCAAGUCGCGUGAGGGAGUACUGCCCUAUGGGUUGUAAACCUCUUUUGUCGGGGAGCAAAAGCCGGACGUGUCCGGCUGUGAGAGUACCCGAAGAAAAAGCAUCGGCUAACUCCGUGCCAGCAGCCGCGGUAAUACGGAGGAUGCGAGCGUUAUCCGGAUUUAUUGGGGUAAAAGGGUGCGCAGGCGGAUUUUUAAGUCAGCGGUCAAAUCGUGGGGCUCAACCCCAUCCAGCCGUUGAAACUGGGGAUCUAGAGGGUGCGAGAGGUAUGCGGAAUGCGGGGUGUAGCGGUGAAAUGCAUAGAUAUCACGCAGAACCCCGAUUGCGAAGGCAGCAUACCGGUGCACAACUGACGCUCAGGCACGAAAGCGUGGGUAUCGAACAGGAUUAGAUCCCGAGUAGUC